GAUGAACGCUGGCGGCGUGCCUAACACAUGCAGGUCGAACGGACUUACAUUGAAGCCUAGCGAUAUGUAAGUUAGUGGCGGACGGGUGAGUAACGCGUGGGUAACCUGCCUUGUACUGGGGGACAACAGUUGGAAACGACUGCUAAUACCGCAUAAGCGCACAGCUUCGCAUGAAGCAGUGUGAAAAACUCCGGUGGUACAAGAUGGACCCGCGUCUGAUUAGCUGGUUGGUGAGGUAACGGCCCACCAAGGCGACGAUCAGUAGCCGGCCUGAGAGGGUGAACGGCCACAUUGGGACUGAGACACGGCCCAAACUCCUACGGGAGGCAGCAGUGGGGAAUAUUGCACAAUGGGGGAAACCCUGAUGCAGCAACGCCGCGUGAGUGAAGAAGUAUUUCGGUAUGUAAAGCUCUAUCAGCAGGAAAGAAAAUGACGGUACCUGACUAAGAAGCCCCGGCUAACUACGUGCCAGCAGCCGCGGUAAUACGUAGGGGGCAAGCGUUAUCCGGAU
This 511-nucleotide ribosomal RNA is filed under the name uncultured Clostridiaceae bacterium. RNAcentral's name for it is "bacterial SSU rRNA". It matches the Rfam family "Bacterial small subunit ribosomal RNA", at positions 28 to 550 of the family's 1533-position model. Lineage: Bacteria; Bacillati; Bacillota; Clostridia; Eubacteriales; Clostridiaceae. The record is from RNAcentral.